Molecule: transfer RNA, 70 nt
Filed under: Dipodomys ordii (Ord's kangaroo rat)
Lineage: Eukaryota; Metazoa; Chordata; Mammalia; Rodentia; Heteromyidae
Rfam family: tRNA
About the family: Transfer RNA (tRNA) molecules are approximately 80 nucleotides in length. Their secondary structure includes four short double-helical elements and three loops (D, anti-codon, and T loops). Further hydrogen bonds mediate the characteristic L-shaped molecular structure. tRNAs have two regions of fundamental functional importance: the anti-codon, which is responsible for specific mRNA codon recognition, and the 3' end, to which the tRNAs corresponding amino acid is attached (by aminoacyl-tRNA synthetases). tRNAs cope with the degeneracy of the genetic code in two manners: having more than one tRNA (with a specific anti-codon) for a particular amino acid; and 'wobble' base-pairing, i.e. permitting non-standard base-pairing at the 3rd anti-codon position.
Source: Rfam by way of RNAcentral
GGGAAUGUGGCUUAGUGGUAGAGUGCUUGCUUAGUAUGCAUGAAGUCCUGGGUUCAAUUCCUCAGUACCA